CCUACGGGAGGCUGCAGUCGAGAAUCAUUCACAAUGGGGGAAACCCUGAUGGUGCGACGCCGCGUGGGGGAAUGAAGGUCUUCGGAUUGUAAACCCCUGUCAUGUGGGAGCAAAUUAAAAAGAUAGUACCACAAGAGGAAGAGACGGCUAACUCUGGGCCAGCAGCCGCGGCAAUACGGAGGUCUCAAGCGUUGUUCGGAAUCACUGGGCGUAAAGCGUGCGUAGGCUGUUUCGUAAGUCGUGUGUGAAAGUCGCGGGCCAAACCGGCGGACUGCCCAUGAUACUGCGAGACUGGAGUACGGGAGGGGGAAGCGGAAUGCUCGGUGUAGCGGUGAAAUGCGUAGAUAUCGAGAAGAACAC
RNAcentral lists this ribosomal RNA (360 nucleotides) under uncultured bacterium. RNAcentral's name for it is "partial 16S ribosomal RNA". It matches the Rfam family "Bacterial small subunit ribosomal RNA", at positions 338 to 709 of the family's 1533-position model. The record is from RNAcentral.